This 129-nucleotide small RNA is filed under the name Serratia plymuthica. Its description in RNAcentral is "RtT sRNA". It matches the Rfam family "RtT RNA". From Rfam's summary of the family: This family represents a bacterial cis-regulatory element known as RtT RNA. The exact function of RtT is unknown although it is thought that it may be involved in changing the cellular response in relation to amino acid starvation. Lineage: Bacteria; Pseudomonadati; Pseudomonadota; Gammaproteobacteria; Enterobacterales; Yersiniaceae. The record is from RNAcentral.
UUCGUCUGUCGUUCAAGAGGAUGAGAACCUCCGAAGGAGGUUUGAGCCGAGCGCAGCGAGACCACGUUGCUUUAGCAACGGCCCGCAGGGCAAGCAUCAAAGAUGCGCGUAAUCCUCUCUCGCCGACCA